This is a long non-coding RNA of Chrysemys picta bellii (western painted turtle), 2205 nucleotides long. RefSeq lists it as uncharacterized. The record is from RefSeq and is a predicted model, not a curated record. NCBI's taxonomy places the organism in Eukaryota, Metazoa, Chordata, Testudines, Emydidae.
GUCCUGCCCGGGUCUUGAGCUCCCGGCCGGGGAGGCUAGUCCCGGGCCCCUCUCCCGCAGCCACGCCGCCAGCGCUCUAGGCGGCAAGGCUGCGCGCUCCUGGCUCCGGCCGGGCGGCCAGACAUGCUGCUCUGAGCGGCAAGCUUCUGCAGAUGUGCUCUUGAUGGCCUCCUCCCGCACACCAGCUGAGCAGCUCUGGCAGAUAAGGAGACGAAACAGGAGGAGUAAGGAAGACAUGUUCUGGGAGGUGAUGCAAUCCUCUGAUGCUUCCAAUUGCGAGCAGAGAGUACGGAGAGAGGCUAUCAAUGAGAAAUGGUGUAUGAAUAGCCAGGAGUGGAAACAGAGGCAGGAGUGGAAACAGAGGCAGGAGUGGAUGAUACAGCUGCUACAGGACCAAACAGACAUGCUGAGGUCCCUGAUUGAACUGCAGACGGAACACAUCCAUGCUUGCCUCUCCCUGCAGCCCAUACAGAACUGCUUUUCAUGCCCUCCUCACUUCCCACCCUCCACAUUCCUUGCAUGUUCUCAAGCUGUCUCAGUACCCCAUGCAACUCACCCCAAGGGACAUGUAUCACAAUGACAACUGGACAUAUAUCCCCCUGGUGAGAGCCUCAUUUGAAAAUGUGCUCUUAAUUUUCAUACCCCUUGCAGAACAUAGUAAUGUGUCUAUCACUAUUGAAUAGAAGUGUCCAUAUAGAAAGAUAAGGAAUCUUUAUUUCUCCCCUACAAAUGCUGAUUGCUACUGAAAUUCAUACACGGGGCAAUCAGUGCAUUUGCAGUGUAAAAUUAACGCGCACACAGCAAUCAUUAGAAGGUUCAUACUACGGGGCAAGAAAACAAUGCCUGGCUAAAUGCAUUACAGACACAUUACGGGGGGUUACUGUCAAAAUGCUCCUUCAAAGCCUCCCUGAUUCAAAUAUCCUCCCCCCUCCCCACUCCAUUGGCCCCUCUAUCAGCCUUGGUAUGUGGCUGCUCAAAAUCAGCAGUCAGCCAAUCCACGUCAACACACUACCCCUGAGGAAAUUUCUCUGUUAGCUUCACAAAUGUUAUGCAGAGCACACCAUGCUGCUAUGACCAUAGGAAUAUUUUCCUCAUUGAUGUCUCACUUGCCAAAAAGGCAGCACCAGUGACCCUUUAAUUGGCCAAAGACACAUUCAACAGUCAUUCUGCACCUUCUGAGCCUGUUGUUGAAGCGCUCCUUGCUGCAGUCAGGGUUCCCAGUGUAAGGCUUCAUGAGCCACAGGAGCAAGGGGUAGGCUGGGCCUCCAAGGAUCUCUAUUGGCAUUUGGUCUGGAAAGAAAGUCCCAGCUUGCAGCUUUCUGUACAGGCCAGUGUUCCUGAAGAUGCAUGUGUCAUCCACCUUCCCUGGCCACCCUGCCUUGCUGUCAGUGAAACAAUCCCAGCGACCCACCAGAGCUUGCAAUACCCUAGAAAAGUAGCCUUUUCUGUUGAUGUACUCCUUCGCAAGGUGAUGUGGGGCCAAAAUGGGGAUCUGCAUGCCAUCUGUUGCCUCACUGUAGCUUGGGAAUCUGUGACACUUUGAGGCACAGUGUAGCACCCUGUAACCCCCAUAUUCAUCAUUUGUAUAUGGUUAUGAUAUUUCAUAAAGCAUGCCAUGUAAGAUACUAUAUGAAAGGUCAUGAUCUGCUGAAACCCAUCAUUUUAUCAAGAUAUGCAUAUCAUUAGUGUGUAUGAAGUUAUGACAUUUUGCUAUAUGGUUGUUACUGAAUUAUGUUGUGAGUUUGGGAGUGAUCCAGUGCUAGUUCUCCAGUUACAACAACGGAGGUAACCCGCACCCAGGCAGAGUGGGUUAUGACCAUUGACCAGAGAAAAUUGUAAACAAGAGAUCUACAAUUCAAUAAGAUAGUUGCACCAGCCCCACACAAUGAAAAUUGCUCAACUCUGACUCAGUUAUGUAAGCACCACACAAUAGGGAUUGCUCAACCUGUGACUCUGCAAGGACAUGCCCACACCAGGACCUUUCCAGGGACAUGGACUGAAAGAACACUGGGAAGACAAAGACUUGAACUGAGGAGACUGGUCCCAGGCUGAGGAGGAAAUUCAGCCUGUGUAUUAAGAACUAUAAUCUACCUGCAACAUCCGGCAGGGUGAGAAAAGCUAUUUGAUUCAACUCGUGCUUAGUCUAAAAGUUUAGGAUUUAGAAUGCCUAGUUACUUUGAGAAAAUAAAAAGUAAACCUCUCUGA